RNAcentral lists this ribosomal RNA (404 nucleotides) under uncultured bacterium. Its description in RNAcentral is "bacterial SSU rRNA". It matches the Rfam family "Bacterial small subunit ribosomal RNA", at positions 355 to 774 of the family's 1533-position model. The record is from RNAcentral.
CUAAGAAUCUUGCGCAAUGGGCGAAAGCCUGACGCAGCAAUUCCGCGUGGGGGACGAAGGCCCUCGGGUCGUAAACCCCUUUUGUGAGGGAAGAAGUUCUGACGGUACCUCACGAAUCAGACACGGCUAACUACGUGCCAGCAGCCGCGGUAAUACGUAGGUGUCAAGCGUUGUCCGGAUUUAUUGGGCGUAACGAGCCCGCAGGCGGCUUGUUAAGUUCGAGGUGAAAUCUCCCGGCUCAACUGGGAGGGUGCCUCGAAAACUAUCAGGCUUGAGGCAGGGAGAGGGAUGUGGAAUUCCCGGUGUAGUGGUGAAAUGCGUAGAUAUCGGGAGGAACCCCAGUGGCGAAGGCGGCAUCCUGGCCCUGUCCUGACCCUCAGGGGCGAAAGCGUGGGGAGCAAACC